This 1139-nucleotide ribosomal RNA is filed under the name uncultured fungus. RNAcentral describes it as "partial 28S ribosomal RNA". It matches the Rfam family "Eukaryotic large subunit ribosomal RNA", at positions 24 to 664 of the family's 3401-position model. Lineage: Eukaryota; Fungi. The record is from RNAcentral.
CCCGCUGAACUUAAGCAUAUCAGUAGGCGGUGGAAAAGAAACUAACGAGGAUUCCCCUAGUAACUGCGAGUGAACAGGGAACAGCCCGACGCUGAAGCCUCGACCGUUCAAGGCGGGGCAAUGUGGCGUUAGAUCAGUGCGUUUUCGUCGGUCCACACAAGUGCGACCGUUCCCCGGCUUGCAGAAGUCUGCGUGACCGUGGCUCUAUUUACCCCGAGAGGGUGAAAGGCCCGUUCUGAUAUACCUUGAAAGGUUAUCGAGCCGAUAACAGGGAACGGCGUACGGGCCGAUAACUAGCGUACGAACAGAGUCGGAUUGCUUGAGAGUGCAAUCUUAAGACGGGUGGUAAACUCCAUCCAAGGCUAAAUACGAUUCCACCAGACCGAUAGCGAACAAGUACCGUGAGGGAAAGUUGCAAAGAACUCUGAAGAGAGGGUUCAAGAGAACGUGAAACCGAUCGGCAGUAACCGGGAGGCACGCCUCGAAACAGAGCUGGGUUUCGAGCAGAGCUUGUCGUGAGAGAUUCAGCCCGCUGUGCUCGGUCGGUCGGACGGGGUUGCCCUCGAGGUAAAGCGAACAAACGUUUUUAACGUGGCACGAUGGGCGGCGGUUUUAUACCGUCGUUCUGUCGGCGUCGCAAGAGCGUUGUCGUUCUCGUUCUCAGCCGUACCGUAGCGCGGGUGCAUUUUCUUGCUUCGGCUCUACCUCUCGGGAGAAAUAUUUUUCUCUCGGGAUUUUACCCACGCCGUCGCCGGGUUGUUUUUAAAAGCGUGUGGCCGGGGAAACGACGGGAGGUUGGUUAGAGUUCGUUGUCUCUCGCAGACAACGUUCCUUCGUUUCUAGCCUUUCCCGUUAUUCUCCUAGACCUCGUUGUCGGCUUGCGCUAGCAUUUGACGGCCCGGUGAUCGAUGUGCGCUUCUCGUGCGUGCGUAGGGGUUUGAAUUUGAUCGGACGUCGUCGCUGGUCUCGACUCGCUAGAGGCACCGUCUCCGUUCAUCGGAGGACGCGUUUCUCGAUUCGUUCCAGUGCGGCGUAUUCUACCCGUGAUAUUCCUCCUCUGCGCCACACGCCGAGUUUUUGUCGUACUCGAAUGACGGCCGAGUAGAAAGGCUCGCCUCCCGACCCGUCUUGAAACACGG